RNAcentral lists this small RNA (32 nucleotides) under Arabidopsis thaliana (thale cress). RNAcentral's name for it is "ATSL004720". Lineage: Eukaryota; Viridiplantae; Streptophyta; Magnoliopsida; Brassicales; Brassicaceae. The record is from RNAcentral.
GCAAGUAGGGGAUGUAGCUCAGAUGGUAGAGC